RNAcentral lists this ribosomal RNA (771 nucleotides) under Triticum aestivum (bread wheat). RNAcentral's name for it is "partial small subunit ribosomal RNA". The record is from RNAcentral. Lineage: Eukaryota; Viridiplantae; Streptophyta; Magnoliopsida; Poales; Poaceae.
AUGGCGGCAGCUUCCUCCGCCGGUUCGGAUCUCUCCACGACGUACCUGACCACGUCGUUGGCCACUACUGCGUCGAGGAGGGCUACGGCUCCCCGUGCCCGCCUAGCCUUAACCCUGUCUUCAUCUCCUCCUCCUGCGGACACCAUCGCCUAUCAAAAUCUGGCGCUCGACUUCCUCCCGCUGGGGGAAUUUGGCGAUUGCCGUUGGGAGCUCGCCGACAUCCGGGGCGGCCUCUUGCUCCUCUUCCACAGGUCACGGGCACCACGCCUCCUCAUCUGCGAUCCCUUGGCACGACGGUACAAGGAAAUCCCUCGCUCGGCGUGGUUCCAUGGUUGCAACAUGCUGGGUGCUUUCCUCCUCGACGGUAAGGAUGCGGACGCGGACGCGGACGCGGGCAUCAGCCUCUCAAACUUCAGGGUGACGUGCAUGGUAUUUCGCCUUCGGGACCGCAACGCCAGGGCCUGCGCCUUCUCUUCUGCCGUCGGCAGGUGGGUCUCCACCACCGCACAUAGCAGCAAGUCAGUCGUCCCCGACGGGGACCUGGACCCCAUCCAUUUUGCAGGGAGCGACGAUUGGUCUGCCUACUGGACGGUCAGAGACAACACUGUUAUUGUUCUGGACAAGGACGUCGCCGAGCUCCUCUCUUUUGUCGUGCCGGACGAUGAGGAGUACCACGCGCUCUGGGAGAAGCGCCACGACAUCAGAUGCCAUGGCCACCUAUUAUCCAAGAUUGCUUAUCCUAGCUGCAUUGGUUUGGUGGGCUGCGGAUAG